RNAcentral lists this long non-coding RNA (1328 nucleotides) under Gallus gallus (chicken). RNAcentral's name for it is "lncRNA (ENSGALG00010018905.1)". Lineage: Eukaryota; Metazoa; Chordata; Aves; Galliformes; Phasianidae. The record is from RNAcentral.
AGAGUGGGCACAUGAGGUAUACGAGUGAGACAAGCUUGCAGGGCACAGCAUCAGAAUACACUGCUGCUUGGUUUUUCUUCCCUAACCAAUUAAUUCAACUUCAAUCAUUAACGAUAGCAUUAAGUGCUUUGCACUAACAAACAUCACAGGGAAGUCUCACAGGGGCAGAGGGCUCAGCAUCCGACAGAAGCUUGGCAGGAUGAAGCCUCUAAGUGGCUGCAUUUCAGCUACCAUCCAGUUUAUUCAGCCCGCAAAACGUAUUCCAGAAACACACGCCUGCAGAUGUCUCGCGCACGCAUUGCCUUACUGAUCAUCAUAAAAAAACUGCCUAUGCUUUCAUUUCAUCCAUACCAGAUGGCGGCUGUGACACUGGGGUCUGUCUUAUUUCCAUGCCAUCCACAAAGACCUUGACAGAGGGAAGAAGAAAGAUAUCUGUCAGCUUCAGUGGGUAAAACCAAAAAAAAAGAAAAAAAGAAAAGAAAAAAGGAAAGAAAAAGAAAAAAGAGAGAUUGGCUCUAUGCCAAAGAGUACAGCCCUCCUGAAAGGAAAAGAAAAAGGCAGAAGCAACAGUUUCUUCAUAUUUUGAGAGAAAUAUGUGCAACUUCCUGGGACCUUUUUCCUUUUGUUUUCAUUUCGAGCAAGAGUAUGCGUUGGAGCUGUGCAGUAUCCUCUUUCCUUUCAGAUACAGCUGCACUCUUCUGGAUGAAGGUGGAGAUAUGUGAAUCUGUUCCCAUGCCAAAGUCAUUUGCUAAAUUGUCUCUUAUGCUUUAAAAGGGCUCAAAUUGGAAUUACAUGGCACUUGCACCUUCUGCUGUUCCAUACCCAUGGUGCCUAAAUGCUGACAGCAACGGCAUUCAUUGCCUUCUUGACAUUUCUUACCGUGUGAGGUGAACAAACUCGCCAGGAUGAGACACAUUUCUCAUUUUGUAUUCAACCACUCCACCAUUCUCCCUGUCCAAAAGCCAUGUGGGAGUUGGAUCAUGGCUUGUUCUAUCCACUCUGCUCCACUCUUACUUUUGAACAGAUCUGAAGAUUGUUGGAAGAGGUGGUGGAUGCCCUAUCCUUGAGGACACUCAAGGUCAAGCUUGAUGGAGUUCUGAGCACCCGAUCAAGCUGUAGGUGUCUCUACUCAUUGUAAGAGAGUUGGAUUAGAUGGUCUUAUAGGGGCCCCUUCCAACUCUCUUUCUAUGAGAGCUAGGAUGCCCUUCAUCAUUUUCUGGAGCAAGCUGGUUUUCACAUCUUGUUUUACUGCAUGAGACUGCUCCUCACAGGACAGCAAGCAAGCAAGCCUGGGAAGACUCAAACCUCUUUCAUUUAUAAUCAGAACA